Penaeus vannamei (Pacific white shrimp) is the source of this 361-nucleotide non-coding RNA. NCBI's taxonomy places the organism in Eukaryota, Metazoa, Arthropoda, Malacostraca, Decapoda, Penaeidae. The record is from RefSeq and is a predicted model, not a curated record.
UCAGUGCCGUCGUGACCGUGGUGAGGAGAGGCUGCGCGCCGCGUCGCUCCGGCUCGCUCGCUCGCUUUCGUCAACUUAAAAACUCCUCUUUAUUUUUUUCUACGGACCAAUCUGCUGCUGAGACGAACUUACGAAAAGAUUGUUGUAGAAAAACAAACAAACUUAUUAUUGGUUUGUUCUCACUGGAGAAUGAUUACCAUUUUUACGUAAAGAAAAUGAUAAGUUAUUUAGUAGUAUUUUUUACCAUCACUUUCGAAUAACGACUGACGAGCCAAUCGCAGUUUUACAAUGAAUAUGUGACCAGGAAAGCAAGAUUCAUAGAAUACGAACAAAACAUAUUUUAAGGAAAUAAGAAAAAAAA